This 324-nucleotide ribosomal RNA is filed under the name uncultured eukaryote. RNAcentral describes it as "partial 18S ribosomal RNA". It matches the Rfam family "Eukaryotic small subunit ribosomal RNA", at positions 1470 to 1796 of the family's 1831-position model. The record is from RNAcentral.
CCCUUAGAUGCUCUGGGCCGCACGCGCGCUACACUGGUCGAUGCAACGAGUUUCUUUCCUUGGCCGACAGGCCUGGGCAAUCUUUGAACAUCGAUCGUGAUCGGGAUAGAUUCUUGUAAUUUUUGAUCUUAAACGAGGAAUUCCUAGUAAACGCAAGUCAUCAGCUUGCAUUGAUUACGUCCCUGCCCUUUGUACACACCGUCCGUCGCACCUACCGAUUGAAUGGUCCGGUGAAAUCUCCGGACUGGCGUGAGUCGGAGCAAUCUGACAAACGCCGGAAAGUUGAUUAAACCUUACCAUUUAGAGGAAGGUGAAGUCGUAACA